Molecule: long non-coding RNA, 203 nt
Organism: Lineus longissimus
Lineage: Eukaryota; Metazoa; Nemertea; Pilidiophora; Heteronemertea; Lineidae
Exons: 3
Source: RefSeq, a predicted model, not a curated record
CUCGCUUGAGUUUCUGAAGAAUGUUCCAUAUCGCGCUAAGCUCAUCACUGCUGAUUAUGACAGGCGUGCAACGGCACACAUCCACAGAGCACUCUUCAAAUCAUCUACACAGUGGUUAUCCAACUAGGAUUAUAAAGCUGUCAUGCAACGCAACAACUGUGCUAUCUGCCAUCGCACAUCAACGAAGAAGUGCAGCCGCCCAC